AUGGCCUUCCUCCAGUCCCAAGUGCUGCUCCUCCUCCACGCCACAGCCACCUCCUCUCCUGCUCCUGCUUCACUUGCCGCCACGCUGGCCAUCAACUCCGGCGUGCGCUGCCUUCGCGUCCGAGCUGCUCUGCUCCGCCCCUCCCUUCUCCUCUUCGGGUUCGUUCCUAGCGCCUCCGUCGCUCCCCUGCACCAUGCGUCGGCCUCUGCGAGCACUGGAUGCUUCGGCGAGCCCUUCGCCAGCCUACAACCUCCGCUGCUGCCCGUCCAGGAAAGCCUCGCCGGCCUCCCCGUCCUCUGCUUCUCCUCGCCUCGCCGUCCAAGUGACUGCUUGGCUCCGCUCUGCCGCCCUGCUUCUUCCUCGUCACCGGCGAGCCGGUGCCUACAAGCGAGGGCUGUAGGUCAUGCAGGAGAGCUCAUGCUCAACCCCGCAACCCUCCAUCGCGCCUCCGCGCGCCCAACCUCCGUCACCGGCCGACCACCAGCAAGGCUUCGUCAUCGAGGCCGCAACCUCCUCCUCGUCCACGUGCCUCGCCUGCCAUGGGGCAGCAGCAGCAGCCCUCGUCCUCACUGCGUCCAUGCUCCAGCCCCGACCUCCGCCCGUGAUAGCUGCUGCUACCGCGACUUGAGCUGCUGCUCCCUGCUUCGCUAUAUACCGUCGCCUCUUUGCCAUGGCCAUCGCUGA
Molecule: ribosomal RNA, 684 nt
Filed under: Triticum aestivum (bread wheat)
Lineage: Eukaryota; Viridiplantae; Streptophyta; Magnoliopsida; Poales; Poaceae
Description: partial small subunit ribosomal RNA
Source: RNAcentral